This 418-nucleotide ribosomal RNA is filed under the name uncultured Streptococcus sp. Its description in RNAcentral is "bacterial SSU rRNA". It matches the Rfam family "Bacterial small subunit ribosomal RNA", at positions 962 to 1382 of the family's 1533-position model. Lineage: Bacteria; Bacillati; Bacillota; Bacilli; Lactobacillales; Streptococcaceae. The record is from RNAcentral.
CGAAGAACCUUACCAGGUCUUGACAUCCCGAUGCUAUUUCUAGAGAUAGAAAGUUACUUCGGUACAUCGGUGACAGGUGGUGCAUGGUUGUCGUCAGCUCGUGUCGUGAGAUGUUGGGUUAAGUCCCGCAACGAGCGCAACCCCUAUUGUUAGUUGCCAUCAUUCAGUUGGGCACUCUAGCGAGACUGCCGGUAAUAAACCGGAGGAAGUGGGGAUGACGUCAAAUCAUCAUGCCCCUUAUGACCUGGGCUACACACGUGCUACAAUGGUUGGUACAACGAGUUGCGAGUCGGUGACGGCGAGCUAAUCUCUUAAAGCCAAUCUCAGUUCGGAUUGUAGGCUGCAACUCGCCUACAUGAAGUCGGAAUCGCUAGUAAUCGCGGAUCAGCACGCCGCGGUGAAUACGUUCCCGGGCCUU